Molecule: ribosomal RNA, 301 nt
Filed under: uncultured bacterium
Lineage: Bacteria
Description: partial 16S ribosomal RNA
Rfam family: Bacterial small subunit ribosomal RNA
Source: RNAcentral
CAGUAGCCGCGGUAAUACGAAGGGUGCAAGCGUUAAUCGGAAUUACUGGGCGUAAAGCGUGCGUAGGCGGUUUGUUAAGACAGAUGUGAAAUCCCCGGGCUCAACCUGGGAACUGCAUUUGUGACUGGCAAGCUAGAGUGUGGCAGAGGGGGGUGGAAUUCCGCGUGUAGCAGUGAAAUGCGUAGAUAUGCGGAGGAACACCGAUGGCGAAGGCAGCCCCCUGGGCCAACACUGACGCUCAUGCACGAAAGCGUGGGGAGCAAACAGGAUUAGAUACCCGCGUAGUCCCUGUCUCUUAUAC